CAAAAGGGUGGAACCAAGCUGGGGAAGAGACAGAGAUAUUGAGAAGCUGUGCCAAGUCCAUGCUGAAUCUUUCCCUCUUGUAUUGUUCAGGGAUUCAAAUCAUCACUGAAGGUAAAAGCUCUCACAGACAUGAGGACAUCAAAGUCCUUCAGAGCAUGGCCAUAGGAAAUGCUCGUCACCAUUUCAACAGCUCUAAAACUGGAUGUUGCAGGUGUCUCGCAUUGACAGCUGCAAUUUUACUGAUGCUGUGCAGCACAGGAUAUCCACUCUCAUUACGUUUCAAGACACAGGAAAUGCAACUCAGUAUCUGAAUGCAUAAGAAGGAAGGAACCUUUUAAAGUUCAAGGAUUCAAGAAGCCUGUUGACAGCAAUACACACUGGUAUAUAAAAAUCAAUUACAGACUUUAAUACUUACAUGUGCUGGUUUCCAAGCCCUCAAAAGCCCCCACUGAGGAGGUUCACAAAUGGGAAGUGAAGAACUACCAGGCACUUGGAUCCUUAUUGUGAAGACUGACUGAAGAGAAGCAUGCAAAACAGAAGGUGCUAUACAAAAACCUUUGAAUCAGAAUGGGUAGUUACACAAAUAAUAAACAAAAUAAAAAUAUGUUGAGAAAUACGCAUGUGUUCACUGCACUCAAAAUUAGUCUGUUGCAUU
Long non-coding RNA from Poecile atricapillus (Black-capped chickadee), 655 nucleotides. RefSeq lists it as uncharacterized. The transcript has 4 exons. The record is from RefSeq and is a predicted model, not a curated record. Lineage: Eukaryota; Metazoa; Chordata; Aves; Passeriformes; Paridae.